RNAcentral lists this transfer RNA (74 nucleotides) under Chitinophaga rupis. Its description in RNAcentral is "Chitinophaga sp. CS5-B1 tRNA". It matches the Rfam family "tRNA". From Rfam's summary of the family: Transfer RNA (tRNA) molecules are approximately 80 nucleotides in length. Their secondary structure includes four short double-helical elements and three loops (D, anti-codon, and T loops). The record is from Rfam by way of RNAcentral. Lineage: Bacteria; Pseudomonadati; Bacteroidota; Chitinophagia; Chitinophagales; Chitinophagaceae.
UGGCCUGUAGCUCAGGUGGUAAGAGCAGCUGCCUUAUACGCAGAAGGUCACUGGUUCAAACCCGGUCAGGCCAA